Molecule: ribosomal RNA, 2923 nt
Filed under: Staphylococcus aureus
Lineage: Bacteria; Bacillati; Bacillota; Bacilli; Caryophanales; Staphylococcaceae
Description: 23S ribosomal RNA
Rfam family: Bacterial large subunit ribosomal RNA
Source: RNAcentral
GAUUAAGUUAUUAAGGGCGCACGGUGGAUGCCUUGGCACUAGAAGCCGAUGAAGGACGUUACUAACGACGAUAUGCUUUGGGGAGCUGUAAGUAAGCUUUGAUCCAGAGAUUUCCGAAUGGGGAAACCCAGCAUGAGUUAUGUCAUGUUAUCGAUAUGUGAAUACAUAGCAUAUCAGAAGGCACACCCGGAGAACUGAAACAUCUUAGUACCCGGAGGAAGAGAAAGAAAAUUCGAUUCCCUUAGUAGCGGCGAGCGAAACGGGAAGAGCCCAAACCAACAAGCUUGCUUGUUGGGGUUGUAGGACACUCUAUACGGAGUUACAAAGGACGACAUUAGACGAAUCAUCUGGAAAGAUGAAUCAAAGAAGGUAAUAAUCCUGUAGUCGAAAAUGUUGUCUCUCUUGAGUGGAUCCUGAGUACGACGGAGCACGUGAAAUUCCGUCGGAAUCUGGGAGGACCAUCUCCUAAGGCUAAAUACUCUCUAGUGACCGAUAGUGAACCAGUACCGUGAGGGAAAGGUGAAAAGCACCCCGGAAGGGGAGUGAAAUAGAACCUGAAACCGUGUGCUUACAAGUAGUCAGAGCCCGUUAAUGGGUGAUGGCGUGCCUUUUGUAGAAUGAACCGGCGAGUUACGAUUUGAUGCAAGGUUAAGCAGUAAAUGUGGAGCCGUAGCGAAAGCGAGUCUGAAUAGGGCGUUUAGUAUUUGGUCGUAGACCCGAAACCAGGUGAUCUACCCUUGGUCAGGUUGAAGUUCAGGUAACACUAAAUGGAGGACCGAACCGACUUACGUUGAAAAGUGAGCGGAUGAACUGAGGGUAGCGGAGAAAUUCCAAUCGAACCUGGAGAUAGCUGGUUCUCUCCGAAAUAGCUUUAGGGCUAGCCUCAAGUGAUGAUUAUUGGAGGUAGAGCACUGUUUGGACGAGGGGCCCCUCUCGGGUUACCGAAUUCAGACAAACUCCGAAUGCCAAUUAAUUUAACUUGGGAGUCAGAACAUGGGUGAUAAGGUCCGUGUUCGAAAGGGAAACAGCCCAGACCACCAGCUAAGGUCCCAAAAUAUAUGUUAAGUGGAAAAGGAUGUGGCGUUGCCCAGACAACUAGGAUGUUGGCUUAGAAGCAGCCAUCAUUUAAAGAGUGCGUAAUAGCUCACUAGUCGAGUGACACUGCGCCGAAAAUGUACCGGGGCUAAACAUAUUACCGAAGCUGUGGAUUGUCCUUUGGACAAUGGUAGGAGAGCGUUCUAAGGGCGUUGAAGCAUGAUCGUAAGGACAUGUGGAGCGCUUAGAAGUGAGAAUGCCGGUGUGAGUAGCGAAAGACGGGUGAGAAUCCCGUCCACCGAUUGACUAAGGUUUCCAGAGGAAGGCUCGUCCGCUCUGGGUUAGUCGGGUCCUAAGCUGAGGCCGACAGGCGUAGGCGAUGGAUAACAGGUUGAUAUUCCUGUACCACCUAUAAUCGUUUUAAUCGAUGGGGGGACGCAGUAGGAUAGGCGAAGCGUGCGAUUGGAUUGCACGUCUAAGCAGUAAGGCUGAGUAUUAGGCAAAUCCGGUACUCAUUAAGGCUGAGCUGUGAUGGGGAGAAGACAUUGUGUCUUCGAGUCGUUGAUUUCACACUGCCGAGAAAAGCCUCUAGAUAGAAAAUAGGUGCCCGUACCGCAAACCGACACAGGUAGUCAAGAUGAGAAUUCUAAGGUGAGCGAGCGAACUCUCGUUAAGGAACUCGGCAAAAUGACCCCGUAACUUCGGGAGAAGGGGUGCUCUUUAGGGUUAACGCCCAGAAGAGCCGCAGUGAAUAGGCCCAAGCGACUGUUUAUCAAAAACACAGGUCUCUGCUAAACCGUAAGGUGAUGUAUAGGGGCUGACGCCUGCCCGGUGCUGGAAGGUUAAGAGGAGUGGUUAGCUUCUGCGAAGCUACGAAUCGAAGCCCCAGUAAACGGCGGCCGUAACUAUAACGGUCCUAAGGUAGCGAAAUUCCUUGUCGGGUAAGUUCCGACCCGCACGAAAGGCGUAACGAUUUGGGCACUGUCUCAACGAGAGACUCGGUGAAAUCAUAGUACCUGUGAAGAUGCAGGUUACCCGCGACAGGACGGAAAGACCCCGUGGAGCUUUACUGUAGCCUGAUAUUGAAAUUCGGCACAGCUUGUACAGGAUAGGUAGGAGCCUUUGAAACGUGAGCGCUAGCUUACGUGGAGGCGCUGGUGGGAUACUACCCUAGCUGUGUUGGCUUUCUAACCCGCACCACUUAUCGUGGUGGGAGACAGUGUCAGGCGGGCAGUUUGACUGGGGCGGUCGCCUCCUAAAAGGUAACGGAGGCGCUCAAAGGUUCCCUCAGAAUGGUUGGAAAUCAUUCAUAGAGUGUAAAGGCAUAAGGGAGCUUGACUGCGAGACCUACAAGUCGAGCAGGGUCGAAAGACGGACUUAGUGAUCCGGUGGUUCCGCAUGGAAGGGCCAUCGCUCAACGGAUAAAAGCUACCCCGGGGAUAACAGGCUUAUCUCCCCCAAGAGUUCACAUCGACGGGGAGGUUUGGCACCUCGAUGUCGGCUCAUCGCAUCCUGGGGCUGUAGUCGGUCCCAAGGGUUGGGCUGUUCGCCCAUUAAAGCGGUACGCGAGCUGGGUUCAGAACGUCGUGAGACAGUUCGGUCCCUAUCCGUCGUGGGCGUAGGAAAUUUGAGAGGAGCUGUCCUUAGUACGAGAGGACCGGGAUGGACAUACCUCUGGUGUACCAGUUGUCGUGCCAACGGCAUAGCUGGGUAGCUAUGUGUGGACGGGAUAAGUGCUGAAAGCAUCUAAGCAUGAAGCCCCCCUCAAGAUGAGAUUUCCCAACUUCGGUUAUAAGAUCCCUCAAAGAUGAUGAGGUUAAUAGGUUCGAGGUGGAAGCAUGGUGACAUGUGGAGCUGACGAAUACUAAUCGAUCGAAGACUUAAUCAA